UACGUAGGGCGCAAGCGUUGUCCGGAUUUAUUGGGCGUAAAGAGCUCGUAGGCGGUUUGUCGCGUCUGCCGUGAAAGUCCGGGGCUUAACUCCGGAUCUGCGGUGGGUACGGGCAGACUAGAGUGCAGUAGGGGAGACUGGAAUUCCUGGUGUAGCGGUGAAAUGCGCAGAUAUCAGGAGGAACACCGAUGGCGAAGGCAGGUCUCUGGGCUGUAACUGACGCUGAGGAGCGAAAGCAUGGGGAGCGAACAGG
This 253-nucleotide ribosomal RNA is filed under the name uncultured bacterium. RNAcentral's name for it is "partial 16S ribosomal RNA". It matches the Rfam family "Bacterial small subunit ribosomal RNA", at positions 524 to 776 of the family's 1533-position model. The record is from RNAcentral.